Molecule: ribosomal RNA, 429 nt
Filed under: Chloroflexota bacterium
Lineage: Bacteria; Bacillati; Chloroflexota
Description: Chloroflexi bacterium partial 16S ribosomal RNA
Rfam family: Bacterial small subunit ribosomal RNA
Source: RNAcentral
UGGGGAAUAUUGCACAAUGGGCGCAAGCCUGAUGCAGCCAUGCCGCGUGUAUGAAGAAGGCCUUCGGGUUGUAAAGUACUUUCAGUCGGGAGGAAGGUGGUAAGGUUAAUAACCUUAUCAAUUGACGUUACCGACAGAAGAAGCACCGGCUAACUCCGUGCCAGCAGCCGCGGUAAUACGGAGGGUGCAAGCGUUAAUCGGAAUUACUGGGCGUAAAGCGCACGCAGGCGGUUGAUUGAGACAGAUGUGAAAUCCCCGGGCUUAACCCGGGAAUUGCAUCUGAUACUGGUCAGCUAGAGUCUUGUAGAGGGGGGUAGAAUUCCAUGUGUAGCGGUGAAAUGCGUAGAGAUGUGGAGGAAUACCGGUGGCGAAGGCGGCCCCCUGGACAAAGACUGACGCUCAGGUGCGAAAGCGUGGGGAGCAAACAGG